Molecule: ribosomal RNA, 381 nt
Filed under: uncultured bacterium
Lineage: Bacteria
Also listed under: 1 other name
Description: bacterial SSU rRNA
Rfam family: Archaeal small subunit ribosomal RNA
Source: RNAcentral
AUACCGGCAGCUCAAGUGAUGACCGAUAUUAUUGGGCCUAAAGCGUCCGUAGCCGGCCAUAAAGGUCCAUCGGGAAAUCCGCCAGCUUAACUGGCGGGCGUCCGGUGGAAACCAUAUGGCUUGGGACCGGAAGGCUCGAGGGGUACGUCCGGGGUAGGAGUGAAAUCCCGUAAUCCUGGACGGACCACCGAUGGCGAAAGCACCUCGAGAAGACGGAUCCGACGGUGAGGGACGAAAGCUAGGGUCUCGAACCGGAUUAGAUACCCGGGUAGUCCUAGCUGUAAACGAUGCUCGCUAGGUGUGGCACAGGCUACGAGCCUGUGCUGUGCCGUAGGGAAGCCGAGAAGCGAGCCGCCUGGGAAGUACGUCCGCAAGGAUGAA